GGCCACAGCCAUUUCACCCUGCAGCCCAAGACCGGUUACUCACAGAAGCUAAGCAGAGCUGGGUCUGGUCAGAACCUGGAUGGGAGACUACAUGGAAAAACUAGGUUGCUGUUGCAA
This 117-nucleotide ribosomal RNA is filed under the name Danio rerio (zebrafish). Lineage: Eukaryota; Metazoa; Chordata; Actinopteri; Cypriniformes; Danionidae. The record is from RNAcentral.